UACGUAGGGGGCAAGCGUUGUCCGGAAUCAUUGGGCGUAAAGCGCGUGUAGGCGGCUCGAUAAGUCCGCUCUGAAAGUCCGGGGCUCAACCCCGGGAGGCGGGUGGAUACUGUCGAGCUAGAGUCCGGAAGGGGCGAGUGGAAUUCCUGGUGUAGCGGUGAAAUGCGCAGAUAUCAGGAGGAACACCGAUGGCGAAGGCAGCUCGCUGGGACGGUACUGACGCUGAGACGCGAAAGCGUGGGGAGCAAACAGG
Molecule: ribosomal RNA, 253 nt
Filed under: uncultured bacterium
Lineage: Bacteria
Also listed under: 1 other name
Description: partial 16S ribosomal RNA
Rfam family: Bacterial small subunit ribosomal RNA
Source: RNAcentral